UAUCCGUGAGUUCUGCCUCACAUCUGGUGUAUAUAUGUAGAAACAUGUGGUGGGUGCAGAUUUAACUGCAAAGGCUUGCAAGGGAAUCCCUCUUUCUGUCUGUCUUACUUUUCCACAGCUGGGCCAUGGUAUCACCUUUCAGUACCAGAAAUAAGCCCAGCUAGGUGAAAGCAAAGUGUUCUGGGAGGGAGUCUGUAGGAGUUAAGCCCCAAAUAGGGGGAAACCUCUGCACUACUCCUCAUUUGUUGCCAAAAUUGAACAUCACUGUUUAGUUACAUUAGUACAGCAAAUAUGAAUUUGAACUAACGGGUCAGGUAGAUGAACUCGGUGGCCCUCAGGAUCCCUUCCAACUCUGUAGUUUCUGAUUCUGUACUCUUGCAUCUAGUUUGAUCCUGAGUUUUGUGGCUCUUACUUUCAGGUCACUGUGCAUAGGGCUGUUGCCUUUGAACCAGAUGCAAUACAUAUUUACUCAGAAGUAACCAGUUGGGCUUCUUUCUGGCUAAUUGUGCAGAAGAUUGUAGCCUUUGGUGCUAAGGUAUCCUUUGGUGGUGUUUCUACUUGAUAGUGAGAAGCAGUGUGCUGAAGCAACACUCUUGGAUUCCUGAUUUGUUUUAUAAGAGGCUAGAAUUAUGGUAGCUAUGGAGUCUUCAUUGGAAGACUUCCGAAAGAAGGUAAGUUUUUGCCUGCAGCCAGGAAGAUCACAGCAUGGAAUAUGCAGAGAAAAGGAGGAUGGGAUGAAGGAAAAACUAGACACAAGGAUGAGGCUAAAGUCAUUGUAAAAGGCAACUGGGGGCCAACGUAGAGGCAGAGAAGGGCGAUGUGUUGAGAAGAGAGAUUAUUUUAGCAGGAAUAUUCUGAGUUGACUGAAGAGGUGAGAGAGAACAGGAAGGAAGGCCAGAGUGGCAGUGGUCCAAGGAAAAAAUAACUAGGGCAUGAACAGUUUAGCAGAAGAUGCAGAUUUGGCCAAUUUUGAUGAAAAAUCACUGGUUGGAGUUGGCAGUAAAAACAGAGAGGGGAAUGAAGAGCCAGCAGUGGGCCUAGUUAGUUUUAUGCUUAGAAGGCAAAAGAGAGAGACUUAGCUAUAUCUAAUCAACAGGAGGCUUGGGUGUCUGCAGAAAUAAUUCGUGGGGACGGGCAGAGAGCUCCAUGACUUUAAAGUACAGGUAUUUGACUUACCUGUGAACUCCACACACUAUUACAUGGUGCUGAAGAGCAGCAACAAGAAACAAUAGUGAUUUACUAUAGUGUAUGGGAUUAUAUAUUUCUGAACUAAGUUCUAACAAAUUGCUCUAUUUGUCCAUUGAACAACAAUACUUUAAGACUCUGAAAAACAAAUUAAAAACCCCUAAGGCUGAAUUUUUCACCUUUUACACAGAAUCUCCCUUGGCUGUGGUGAGUGCCAGAUAAAAGAUCUGAAAGUAGCCAGGCUGUUGCUGCUGCUGCUGCUGCUGCUGCUAAUUCCUGUCCACACGUAACAUAAAGAAAAAUAUACUACAAAGCGGAUCGCCAUUGAAACAAAAAUGGAAGACUCUGAGGCUCUUGGCCAAAGCAGUCAAUAACUGCUUCUAUAAAUUUCUCCUUGGGACGGGUCCUCAGCAUUGCUCUCUGGAUGUUCAACAAACAAGCCAGACAAUUGCUUUUCAUGCAUUGUUGAAUUUAGCCAUGCCUGUGCGAAGUGCUGAAGGAUUGUUCAGUUCAGCAUGUUGUAACUGGGAGGGAAAGUGCUGUCAGGAGAGCCAUUUUAAUAGCAGGGAACCGUCUGGUGUGGUCCAGCAGUUCAGCAAGGUUCUCGGUAAAGUAAUAAGUAAAUCCAGGUAGGAAAUGUAGACGGACCGCCAAUAGUUCUCUUCUGUGGAUUGGUUGGGAUGAUUGGCAUGGUUUUGACUGUGAGUCCUGGAAGACCUGUACCCUGCCUUUUAGGCCUUUUUCCAGCUGGCCUGGGAGGGUGGGGGCCAGACUGACUCCAGCUACAACAGCUGAGACUGCUGAACAGAAUCUUGAACUGGGGUAUUGUUUAGGGGGGCUGUUAACAGCAUCUUUGUACAGUGGUACCUCAGGUUACAUACGCUUCACGUUACAGACUCCACUAACCCAGAAAUAGUACCUCGGGUUAAGAACUUUGCUUCAGGAUGACAACAGAAAUCGUGCUCCAGCGGCACAGUGGCAGCGGGAGGCCCCAUUAGCUAAAGUGGUGCUUCAGGUUAAGAGCAGUUUCAGGUUAAGAACGGACUUCUGGAACGAAUUAAGUACUUAACCCGAGGUACCACUGUAUUUUGGAUCUUACGAUUUAUGUGGCAAUUUUCCAGUUUGUGUACUUUUUAAUAUUGUUUAUCGCUACUUUUGCUUUGUUUGUGGUUAUGUAAUUUUUUAUAUGCUGUAAGCCGUCUUGAGCAUUGUUUUAACUUUGGAAAGGUGGCAUGCAAAUAAAAUGAUUGGUUGAGUUUUCUGUUACAUGGUUUGUCUAGCUGCUUUAAAUUUGAAAUCCAUUUCACCUUCCAGUUUCUUGCACUUUUCUACUACUACUAUUGUACUCAUUAGGUUUCCUGUGUUGUAAUGUUAUUCCUAGCAACUCUUGUAUAUAUGCUCUUUCAUUUUCAUUGCAUCUAACUUCACAAACUGCAGAACUUGUUCGACUGGUUCUAGCAUCAAAUAAUAUUUUCACAAGUCAAAAUUAUUAUUAUUUAUUAAAUUUGUAUACCACCCUUCAACUGAAUAUCACUAGGCAUUGGGUUGGCUAGAGUUCUUUGAGACUGUCAACAAGCAUAUAGAUGGUGCAGUUCACAAAGGGUACUCAAAACUUUCAAAAAGCUUUUGACCAGGUACUUCACCAAAGACUCCUGAGAAAGCUUAGCAGUCAUGGGAUAAGAGGAGAUGUUCUCUUGUCGAUCAGAACUGUUAAGGUGGCCAAGGUGGCUGAAGAUACUAAAUAGUUCAGCAUCAUUAAAACAAAAAGGGAUUGUGAAGAGUGGCAAAUGAUAUCUCCAAACUGAGUGAAUGGGCAGUAAAAUGGCAAAUGCAAUUCAAACAUCACAGCCUUUUAUGGGGGCUUUAAACUGUAAAAGUGCUACUCCGAAUUUUGGAAGUGGAUGGUGCAGCUGUUGUAGGAUUGGAUUGGGCUAGGUUUCCCUAGGGAAUGAGAACUGGAAAUGAACGUAGUUCAGUUCCACAGAAAUAUACACUUAUAUAAAUUUAUUCAGUAAUCACACAAUAUUGGAUGGCUUGAUCAAAGCAUGUAGAUGUCAAUGGGGAAAGAUUCUUUUUGAGUUACAUUGACUUAGUUCAGAUGUACUGGAAAACCUUGUUCUCCUGAGAGCCUUGGUGAGCCUCAGUGUGCUGUGUUUUUCAUGUGCCAGGAGAAGAGAUUGGAAGCCUACCCUUCUAAUUUGUGGUAAAUCAUAGUUUGCCCUUUCUAUCAAAUCUGGCAAACAGUGGCUUGUUGUAUACUAGAAGCUAACACUUCUAAUUCCUUCUCCUUGUGUGCAAGUGUGCAAGCUUGAGGGUUGCACUUGCCUGCUCUUAUAACAAUAUAACAACUCUGGAAUGUUGUUAUAUAUGAAUUACGCCAUGGUGUCCCUUGUAUCUCAGAGUGGGGUGCUCAAGGAACAAAAGUGAUUGCAAUACGUAUGAAAGGGAUUUUUUCUCUAGGAUCUCGACAGUGACUUGUGAAAGAUGACAAUUCCAACUGAAUUUUGUGACGAGAGAGAGAGAUGCUUGCCUCCCCCAAUUUUUCAGACAUAUGCCAGCAAAUAUUGCGGCAAAUUAGUAUGUAGAAUAAUGAUUCUCAACAUACAUUGAUGUUUUCAGAUGUUCAGGGAUUGGGGUUUUUUCUGGGACUGUCAACUUAUACAUGUCAGGCUAAUAGUGUACUUUAUUAAUUAUUAAGUUUCUAUCCCACCUUUCCUCCAAGAAACUCAAGAUGACAGACAUGGUUCUCCCUCCACUGCAUUUAAUUUUCAUAGUACUGUGAGGGAGGUUAGGCUAAGAGAUGGUUGAUUGCAUUUUGUGGCUGGCCCUCCAAGGGCAGGGUGAAGUGAGGUAACCACCUCAGGCAUCAUGAUCCACAGGGGCAGCAGAUCCCAAUGUAGAUCUUUAUUCCAUUCUUGUUCCUGAUGUAGAUCACCCUUUCUUCCCUUGUGGGGAGGAGGGGGUGCAAUUUUGUGUUUCACCUCAAGUGCCGAAAUGUCUUGUGCCGUCCUGAUUUAAUGACUAUGUCACAGUGGCUGAUUAUGAAAACCAGCUGGUAGUGAAAUGUAGAUCCAAUUAAAGGUGUGCAGUAGAAGGAUCCUUAAACAUGACUAUC
Molecule: long non-coding RNA, 4300 nt
Filed under: Podarcis lilfordi (Lilford's wall lizard)
Lineage: Eukaryota; Metazoa; Chordata; Lepidosauria; Squamata; Lacertidae
Source: RNAcentral